This 440-nucleotide ribosomal RNA is filed under the name uncultured bacterium. RNAcentral's name for it is "partial 16S ribosomal RNA". It matches the Rfam family "Bacterial small subunit ribosomal RNA", at positions 338 to 795 of the family's 1533-position model. The record is from RNAcentral.
CCUACGGGUGGCAGCAGUGGGGAAUAUUGCACAAUGGGGGAAACCCUGAUGCAGCGACGCCGCGUGAGUGAAGAAGUAUUUCGGUAUGUAAAGCUCUGUCAGCAGGGAAGAAAAUGACGGUACCUGACCAAGAAGCCCCGGCUAACUACGUGCCAGCAGCCGCGGUAAUACGUAGGGGGCAAGCGUUAUCCGGAUUUACUGGGUGUAAAGGGAGCGUAGACGGCAGGGCAAGUCUGGAGUGAAAGGCGGGGGCUCAACCCCCGGACUGCUCUGGAAACUGGGGAACUUGAGUGCAGGAGAGGAGAGUGGAAUUCCUAGUGUAGCGGUGAAAUGCGUAGAUAUUAGGAGGAACACCAGUUGCGAAGGCGGCUCUCUGGACUGUAACUGACACUGAGGCACGAAAGCGUGGGGAGCAAACAGGAUUAGAUACCCUUGUAGUC